UAUGUGAUCGUCUCUCGCAUAUCAAUAAGCGGAGGAAAAGAAACUAACAAGGAUUCCCCUAGUAACGGCGAGUGAAGCGGGAAGAGCUCAAAUUUGAAAUCUUAAAGGGUUUCCCUUUACGAAUUGUAGGUUUAAAGAAGUGUUUUCUGUUGAGGUUUUGGUAAAAGUUCUUUGGAAUAGGACAUCAUAGAGGGUGAGAAUCCCGUAUUUGACCUUUACUUUCAACUUUGUGAUACACUUUCAAAGAGUCGGAUUGUUUGGGAAUGCAGUCCAAAAUGGGUGGUAAAUUUCAUCUAAAGCUAAAUAUUGGCGAGAGACCGAUAGCGAACAAGUACCGUGAGGGAAAGAUGAAAAGAACUUUGAAAAGAGAGUUAAACAGUACGUGAAAUUGUCAAAAGGGAAGCGUUUGACACCAGUGUUGUUUUUCUGAAAAUCAAUUAAAGAACUGUUUAUGCUAAGCUGUUUAGACUUUAUCAGCUAUCUGUUUAGUUUUGAGCUUUUCUUUAAUGCACUUUUCAGUUAACAAGUCAACAUCAAUUUCUUUUGCUGUAAAAAAGCUUGAGGAAGGUGGCCUGAGAUUCGUCUUAAGUGUUUAUAGCCUCUUGCCUAUGCAGUCGGAGAGAUUGAGGUCUGCAGCGUAGAUCCUUCGGGGCUAAAUGCAUUUGUGCUAAGUUAUAGCAUUUUAUAGACAACUUGUUGACUAUGAUUUGUCUUGUAGCUUACUCGCUUAUGUUAUUUUACCUACGCUUAGGAUGUUGAAGACUCUACAGAGAUA
Molecule: ribosomal RNA, 775 nt
Filed under: uncultured Neocallimastigales
Lineage: Eukaryota; Fungi; Neocallimastigomycota; Neocallimastigomycetes; Neocallimastigales
Description: partial large subunit ribosomal RNA
Rfam family: Eukaryotic large subunit ribosomal RNA
Source: RNAcentral